CAAUAGCGUAUAUUAAAGUUGUUGCGGUUAAAAAGCUCGUAGUUGGAUUUCUGCCGAGGACGACCGGUCCGCCCUCCGGGUGAGUAUCUGGCUCGGCCUGGGCAUCUUCUUGGAGAACGUAGCUGCACUUGGCUGUGUGGUGCGGUAUUCAGGACUUUUACUUUGAGGAAAUUAGAGUGUUUCAAGCAGGCAUACGCCUUGAAUACAUUAGCAUGGAAUAAUAAGAUAGGACCUCGGUUCUAUUUUGUUGGUUUCUAGAUCUGAGGUAAUGAUUAAUAGGGAUAGUUGGGGGCAUUCGUAUUUAACUGUCAGAGGUGAAGUUCUUGGAUUUGUUAAAGACGGACUACUGCGAAAGCAUUUGCCAAGGAUGUUUUCAUUGA
RNAcentral lists this ribosomal RNA (380 nucleotides) under uncultured eukaryote. RNAcentral describes it as "partial 18S ribosomal RNA". It matches the Rfam family "Eukaryotic small subunit ribosomal RNA", at positions 592 to 976 of the family's 1831-position model. The record is from RNAcentral.